RNAcentral lists this ribosomal RNA (388 nucleotides) under uncultured bacterium. RNAcentral describes it as "partial 16S ribosomal RNA". It matches the Rfam family "Bacterial small subunit ribosomal RNA", at positions 523 to 918 of the family's 1533-position model. The record is from RNAcentral.
AUACGUAGGUGGCAAGCGUUAUCCGGAAUUAUUGGGCGUAAAGAGUGAGCAGGCGGUUAAUUAAGUCUGAGGUUAAAGCGUUGGGCUCAACCCCAUAAAGCCUUGGAAACUGAUUGACUAGAGUACGGGAGAAGUGAAGGGAACUCCAUGUGUAGCGGUGAAAUGCGUAGAUAUAUGGAAGAACACCAGAGGCGAAGACGCUUUAAUAGCCCGAAACUGACGCUCAGUCACGAAAGCGUGGGUAGCAAAUAGGAUUAGAUACCCUAGUAGUCCACGCUGUAAAAGAUGACAACUAAAUAAUGCCGCGAGGCAGUGUUGAAGCUAACGCAUUAAGUGGUCCGCCUGGGGAGUACGGUCGCAAGACUGAAACUUAAAGGAAUUGACGGGG